RNAcentral lists this ribosomal RNA (460 nucleotides) under uncultured bacterium. Its description in RNAcentral is "partial 16S ribosomal RNA". It matches the Rfam family "Bacterial small subunit ribosomal RNA", at positions 338 to 795 of the family's 1533-position model. The record is from RNAcentral.
CCUACGGGAGGCAGCAGUGAGGAAUAUUGGUCAAUGGCCGGAAGCCUGAACCAGCCAAGUAGCGUGCAGGAUGACGGCCCUACGGGUUGUAAACCGCUUUUAUACGGGAACAAAGCGCCUCACGUGUAACGCUUUGCAUGUACCGUAUGAAUAAGGAUCGGCUAACUCCGUGCCAGCAGCCGCGGUAAUACGGAAGGUCCGGGCGUUAUCCGGAUUUAUUGGGUUUAAAGGGGGCGCAGGCCGGAGGUCAAGUCUACGGUUAAAUGUCCGGGCUCAACCCGGGCCUUGCAGCGGAAACUGGAGUGCUUGAGUGCGCGGAAAGCAGGCGGAAUGCGUGGUGUAGCGGUGAAAUGCUUAGAUAUGACGAAGAACCCCGAUUGCGAAGGCAGCAUGCUGGCGCGGAACUGACGCUGAUGCACGAAAGCGCGGGUAUCGAACAGGAUUAGAUACCCCUGUAGUC